AAUAAAGUAGGCUUAUCUAUAUAUGCAUCAUAAUCGUUUCAAACAUGGAGAAUAGAGAAAAAAAAAAACUCAAGUGGACUACCAGGCAGCUUUUGCAAAGCCCACCCGAAGAUUACCAAAGUCAAAUACAGUGUGAUAUGCUCCCAAGAAGACAUCCCCAAGAAUCCAAAGGGGACCUUGUGGAGGAGGCACAUCCAAUGCAGUGAAACCACUCAGGCAGAUUGUAGCAUACUUCUGCUCCACUCUAACAACAUACUGUUCUGGAGACAGCGGAAAGGAUUUAUUUGCAAUGGUGAAUGAAACAUGUGGCAUGCCUGUGAUGUCAUUGCAAUCAAGGAAUGAUUUUCCCAUUGGAUCUGGAAGCCUCUCGCACAGCUCAUCCACAUAUUUGAAUAUUUUUUCUUUUGCUUUCUGUUGUUUAAGUUGUACUUGAAUCCAGAAAACAAUCAUCUCACAGAAAGUACAUAGGGCACUCUCAUCAACAGUUGAUUUAUUCACAACUUGAUCAUCUACCAAAGUCUCCAGAACAGUCCUAGAACCAUUAUUAUAUACACAAAGUCCAAUAUCCACACAUAUGAUUUCAGGCCGUAACCCAGAUAUUAAUGUUUCCCAUAUCAAAUUUCCAUAGUUAGAGACGACAGUUUUACAUUCUAAGCUCACAAUUCCUUGCGCACCAAUGGCAUGGUUAAUUUGAGUCACAAUAGUCUGAAAAUAGAAACUGGUAAGAGUAGCUCAAAAGAAAAAUUUAGAGGGAAAAAAAACUACAGUAGUUAAGAACAAGCAGAUCUUUAGGUAGAAAAAGUUUACAGUUGGACCAGCAAGAAAGGAGGUUCCUGAGUCCACAAUGGCAGCACAUCCGUAUUCACACAGUCCUAGGAAUUUCAAACAUUGGUUUAGAGAUUGUUAGCCUAUCUACAUCUAACAUGGGAACAUAAUUCUAGAAUUGCAUAUUCUACUCAAUGAGCAAAUAUUAGUUUAAACGUCCAGUUAAAUUUUAAAGAAGUGAAGUUGCAUUGAAAACACCUAAGACAAGAAUAACUUCGAACAAAUUUCUGUCAAUAUGAAGUUUGUCUUGCGUAAUACAAUCAGCCAGUCUUGAUUACAGAGCAUAGGGACCAUUCAUUGCGAGCAAAACAAAAAAAAAUGAAUCAUAGUUUUUAUAGACCUUGUGUGAUCUUCUGUAACAUUAUGUUUUGGAAUAAAAUUUCAUCUAAAAGUAACCAAAAGUAAGAUAUUUGUAGAUAAAUAUAAGCUAUAACUCAACAAUACUUUGUCAAUACACUAUAACAUCACCUGUUGAAUUGUUUGCAAUGAAUAUAUCUCCCACCUCAAUCUGCCAGUAACCCCUUUCAGUUACUGGGACAUAUGUAUGGUCACCUCUGAAGUGCCUCCAGUCAAGACCUCCAAAGACAAUCUCACCUCCCAAUCCUGCUGUUGGAUCGCGAUUUAGCCAAAGAGAGAAAAUUUUCUGGCUGACAUGACCCUGUUGUACCAUAUUAAACCACACUGGUGCAGCUUGCCCGACAGCAAUAUCCUGAAAACCAAGCCCAAGUAUCCCAUCAAACUGUGUACCUAAGAAUGCUAAAAAUCCUUGUCUUGUAACCUCGACAAACUCCUGAUCUCUAAUGGUACCAUCCCCAAGUUUGACAUGAUCUUGGCCGAAGAAACCAGAAAUGGAUCCAGAACCAUAGUGAAUUUUGCAAGGUACUCCAAUCUUGGUAUAAGUUCGGGACAUCCUUGCUCUGAACUUGGAAUGGAAAUAGCAAGUAAUAGACAAAACGCAUUUUGAAGAUGGAACCCAAAGAUUGGAGCUGCCAGUAUCAAAGACGACAGUGAAACUCUGUGGUGGUGAUCCAAUGGCAACCUCUCCAUAAUAUUGGGUAUCAAGAUAAUUCUUUAGGUAUACUAGAUCAGCUUUUGGCCUUUCGAAGCUAGCAUCAGUAUCUCCAAUACCCGUAUCAUAGGAAGUAUCAGCUCUAGUGAUCUUUGCAGCAUUAAUGCUGUAAAGGUCUAAACGCCGCUUCUUUAGACCAAUUUUCACUAGUCCAUUAGAGGAAGAUGUAAAAGCCCAGGAACCACCCAACCAUGCCCCUAAACAGACUGCAAAUAGAAGAAAUCUGAACCAGACUCUCAGAACAGUAACAGUAGGCUGGUUUGACAUGAUGAAGGAAGUUUCUGCAUAAAGUUUAUGGCAAUUUUAUAAAAUUUGGCCAAGGCUGAUAUGCAAAUGGCAGAAGAACAUUAAAGGGGUACAAGUGAAAAUAAAUAUUACGAGGCAAUUUCACUCAUUCCGCCUCUCUCUUAGUUAACCAAAAUUUCCGAUUGCUCAAGUAGAUGGUUAAUUGAAGAGCUUAAAGAAAAAGGCGUUAACGGGUACAUGGAAAAUGGUAAAAUAAUACAAACCUGCAUAAAAAGUUCCAGACUUCAUGAAGAAAGAAUAAGUUGGGUGAGUGAAGUUAUUGCCCGUUAAAAAGUACAAGACUUCAUUUGUCCACAACUCUGGGGACGGCCGUACCAUCUUGGGUUUCAUACACUUUGGUGGCUUCAUCCGUAGACGAAGCCACCGCGUUAUUUCCCCGGCUAGAACCUGUAUUUCAGCAUCUGCAAAGAGGCAUUCGUGAUCAUGGCCAUGGAAUGGGAUUAGGAUACAAACUUACCAAUCAGUAGUACUGCGACUGGCCUUUUUUUUUUUCCUUCAAGAAGAUGGGUUUUGUUAAUUAAUUACUGAGGAUGCUGU
This 2737-nucleotide unclassified non-coding RNA is filed under the name Hevea brasiliensis (rubber tree). Lineage: Eukaryota; Viridiplantae; Streptophyta; Magnoliopsida; Malpighiales; Euphorbiaceae. The record is from RNAcentral.